GUAUUGACCAUUUCUCAGCUUCAGUAUCAUCUCCACCUGCAGCAGAGUGUUCAGAUACUUCCCCCUACAGAGAACUGGAGAGAGGCUGAUUACAGAAAAAUAAGCACUUGCUUCCGGCCGACCGAAAGCCAGGCGAGGAGACUGAGAGUCUUGUGGGUAAGCAGGUGGAGUAUGUUACUGACAAAGGUGUGAAGCGAACAGGCCUAGUGAUCUACCAAGUCCCUGCCAAGCCCUCUGUAUACUACAUCAAAUACGACGAUGACUUUCACAUCCAUGUCUACGACCUGGUCAAGACCACAUAGGACACUUCUUUACUCACUCCAUCGCUUACUUUUCACUUAUCCUCCUCUCUCUAUCUCUCGAACUCUCUAAAGGCCCUGGAGGGUUUAACAGUUAUGCUUUGUCAUUCAGGAAGUGCAAUCUAUUAGUCCACAUUCAAUCUAGUUCUAUGAUAUGCACAGCAGAACUGUAGCAAUGCUAUUGUAGGCCACUAGGAGGAGGGUGGGAACGUGUACACUUGGAAGGACCUUUUUACCCUCCCCACUUCUUUGGUUACCCCAUUUUGUGGUUGUGCUCCACCGUAGACUCACAUCUUGGACAGUCCAGGAGUGCACCUUGCCCUAUGACAGACUCACAUCUUGGACAGUCCAGGAGUGCACCUUGCCCUAUGACAGACUCACAUCUUGGACAGUCCAGGAGUGCACCUUGCCCUAUGACAGACUUACAGUAUAGUGCAAGAACGACCACAUUUCAAUUGUUUCUCACAUCUUGAUGCUUAAUUCAAAGCAGAACUGAAUUAUAUAUUAUAAAACUAAAAGCUGCCCCCAGUAGCCAUUCAUAUUUGUUCCUUGAAUGACCAAACAGUGAGCAUGAUGUAUAAGUGAUUAUUUGUAGAGACUAGUUUGAGCUGUUUUGUUCAGUGAAGUGUUAGCUUUGAAAGUGAAAUGCAGUAAGCUGUGAUGCCCCUGAAAGCAUCAUUACAUUUUUUUGUUGUCUUUAUUAAUAGGCAACUAACUUUGUUUGAUUUGUGUCAGUCAGUUCAUAGACAAUCAUUCCUUGAUAAACCCACAGUGCUAUCAUUGGAUUCAUAGCACUGGGUUGCACUGGCCUAGGAGUAGUGUAUAGCAGUGUUUCCCAACUCCAGUCCUCGAGUACCCCCAACAGCACACCAUUUUGUUGUUGGCCCGGACAAACUCACCUGAUUCAGCUCAUUGAGGGCUUGAUGAUUAGUUAACCAUUGGAAUCUGUGUGCUUGUCCAGGGCUACAACAAAAAUCUUUGCUGUUGGGGUUAUUGGACGACUGGAGUUGAGAAGCACUGCUGUGUGGUGAUGGUUCAAACACUAUUUUGAACUGCCUCAAAUAACACUCAUAAUGCUGAAUCAAGACUUGUUAGAAACAAGGAAUACAGGUUUUCAUAAAGUUAGGGCCGAGAGUUUUUCUUGACCACACAACCUGAUGAGUUGUCCAGAUCAGGAAAACUCCUCACCCUAACAAUACCUGACAUGUUCAAAACAUCAUCAGACUGUAUGAUUAGCUUGAGGAGUAGAAUAGAGGCAGGGCUUUACACUACAUUCUGAUCUUCAAUAGAAAAUAAACAAGCAUCAUAAAGUGCCUUCAGGCUGAUCAUGUUGCCAUACUCUAUAUGUUUGCUAACCUCUCACAAUUUUAUUCUGUUUAAUGUUAAAGCCACUAUUUGGUCAGUAUUAGUAAAAGUAAAAAAUGCUCGAAAGAAACAAAUGUGUCAAAGACUACGUGACAAGGUUGUUGCUAUUGUCGGUUUGUAUUAGAGAAUAUGUGCAAUGUUGGCAGUUAAUGCAGUAUACAAUAAUGUCCCCCAAUAUAACAUCCAUGACCAACAACAACAAGUGGUAUAUUGUAGCAAUGGUAAACCAUAAUGGUAAAACGCAUGGAGAAAAUAAAACAUUUAUGACACGGCAUACAGUAUUUCAUCUGUAACUUUAGAUUGUGUUGUAAAUGUAUGCUGUUGUGAUUACUCCCGUUAUAUUGUAAAUAUCCCAUUGAAACACCAGCUUUAAAACUCAUCUAGAAAUCUCACUUAGAGAAAUGCAGCAAAGACAGCUUCCAAAAAAUCCUUAGGCCUGGUCCCUUGAGAGGAAAAAUACAAGUUUUCACUUUUUAAUCUUAUUUUAAAGACUUGGGAGCUACACUCCAUAAUGUAAUCCCAGGAAGCCCACAAACUCCAAUGGACUGGCUAGGAGAAUUCAGAUUUACAGUCUCCUGUCCUACUCACCACUCCAGGGUAUCCAGUCCAGGGUAUCCAGUCUAUCUCUUUACACAGUACAUUGGUCCAUGGUGCAUAAGGGUCAUUGUACUUAGGCUGUGUUUAGACAGGCAGCCAAUUCUUGUUGGUGAUCUUGUUUUUCACUAAUUGGUCUUUUGACCAAUCAGAUUAGCUCUGAAAAAGAUCUGUGAAAGGAUCUGAUGUGAUUGGUCAAAAGACCAAUUAGCGAGAAAUAAAUACUGAAUUGGGCUGCCAGUAUAAAUGUAGCCUUUUAUUGUCAGAUGUGCAUGCAUAACUUGAAUGCAACCAAGCAUAUUGGUUAUGACAGUUGCAGAGGUAUAAUAUGAUAUAUCUGGCAGAUAAUUUUGUGGCAGUCUUUGCAGUCCAAUUUUAGUAAAAUAUUUAGCUAGAAAAUGUGACUGUAAAAAAAUAAAAUUGUCAGGGCUUAUCUAUAGACGGGUUAGCUGACGUCACGAAAACGAUGCGCACGCUUCAAUGGGGCAGAAGACAGUGUGUUGUGAUUCUGGAUGGUCAGAUAGCUAGCAAAAAUGUCAAGAACCUGCCACGUGGGGAAUCUGUAGGUGGCUCGUUUUACCUAGUUCUUGAUACCAUGUCUUGUUUUGAGGCGUUUUGACUGAUGUCACAUCUAUGCUAAUAUUCUGUAACGUUAUAUUUGAGGGACAAGUGUAUGGGGUCAAUUUCACGCUAUAAUUAUUGAAUUCAAAAAUAUUAAAAAAAUGUGAACAUGAAAAAUAAAGUUGGGAAUGUAAACAUAUUUUAGAGAACGG
Molecule: long non-coding RNA, 3031 nt
Filed under: Salmo salar (Atlantic salmon)
Lineage: Eukaryota; Metazoa; Chordata; Actinopteri; Salmoniformes; Salmonidae
Description: lncRNA (ENSSSAG00000097079.1)
Source: RNAcentral